RNAcentral lists this long non-coding RNA (3046 nucleotides) under Serinus canaria (Common canary). Its description in RNAcentral is "lncRNA (ENSSCAG00000000230.1)". The record is from RNAcentral. Lineage: Eukaryota; Metazoa; Chordata; Aves; Passeriformes; Fringillidae.
GGGGCACCUGGGCACACCUGGGUACACCUGAGGGCACCUGGGGGGAGAAAAAUGGGCAAAAACGGCGAAAAUUGGGUGAAAAUCGGUGAAAAAAUGGGGAUUUUAGGGGGGAAAUUGGGGUUUGGGGCACACCUGGGCACACCUGAGGGGCACCUGAGGGCACCUGGGUACACCUGGGGGGAGAAAAAUGGGUGAAAAUUGGGUGAAAAUUGGGGUUUUAGUGGGAAAAUUGGGGUUUUGGGCACACCUGGGGGCACCUGGGCACACCUGGGGGGAGAAAAAUGGGCAAAAAUGGCGAAAAUUGGGUGAAAAUCGGUGAAAAAAUGGGGAUUUUGGGGGGAAAUUUGGGGUUUUGGGCAUUUUAACCCCUUCCCUCCCGCAGGAGACCCCUCCGAACCGCCCUGGCCGGGGCUGAUUUUGGGUUGUUUUGGGCUAUUUUUGGUCUAUUUUUGAGUGGAUUUUUUGGGCAAUUUUGGGGCUAUUUUUGGGUCGAUUUUGGGGUAUUUCAGGACAUUUUAACCCCUUCCCUCCCGCAGGAGACCCUGCGCACGUCCCUGACUGGGGCUGAUUUUGGGUUCAUUUUGGGUUAUUUUGGGCUACUUUUGGGCUAUUUUUGCAGGGAUUUUUUGGGCAAUUUUGGGGCUAUUUUUGGGUCGAUUUUGGGGUAUUUCAGGACAUUUUAACCCCUUCCCUCCCGCAGGAGACCCUGCGCACGGCCCUGGCCAUGGGUGCUGACCGGGCGGUGCUGGCCGAGCUGGGGGAGGGGGCGGCCGCGGGGCCCCGCGAGGUGGCCACGGCCCUGGCAGGGCUGGUGAAGCGGCUGCAGCCGCAGCUGGUGCUGCUGGGCAAGCAGGCCAUCGAUGACGAUUGCAACCAGACCGGGCAGCUCCUGGCCGCCAUCUUGGACUGGCCGCAGGUAGGCCGCGCGCGGGGCACCACGGGAUACAUCCCCCUACGGCGGGGGAUAAAUCCCACAAUCCACCGCGGAGUAGGGGGGAUAAAUCCCGGCAUCCUUUGCGGUAGAUGGGGGGAUAAAUCCCGUCGUGCAUCGCGGUGGCGGAGGAUGAUGGGAUAUAUUCACCCCUAAAUCGCUGAGGAUUGUGGGAUAUAUUCACCCCUUCAACGGCUGAGGAUUGUGGAAUAUAUUCACCCUUAAAUCGCGGGGGUUUGUGGGAUAUAUCCACCCCUAAAUCGCUGGGGAUUGUGGGAUAUAUUCACCCUUAAAUCGCGGGGGAUUGUGGGAUACAUUCACCCCUUUAACGGCUGAGGAUUGUGGGAUAUAUUCACCCUUAAACCGCUGGGAAUUGUGGGAUAUAUCCACCCGUUAAAUCGCGGGGGAUUGUGGGAUAUAUUCACCCCUUUAAUGGCUGAGGAUUGUGGGAUAUAUUCACCGUUAAAUCGCGGGGGAUUGUGGGAUAUAUUCACCCCUUUAACCUACUGGGAAUUGUGGGAUAUAUUCACCCCUUAAUUGCUGAGGAUGAUGGGAUAUAUUCACCCCAAAAAAACCGCUGAGAAUUGUGGGAUAUAUUCACCCCUAAACCGCGGGGGAUUGUGGGAUAUAGUCACCCAUUAAAUCGCGGGGGAUUGUGGGAUAUAUUCCCCCAAGGGCUGUGAAAAUGGGGCCGGGCCCAGUCCAUACUGGGAGGGUCUAACUCAUAUUGGGAGGCUCUGAGCUCAUACUGGGAAGGUUUAAUUCAUACUGGGAGGGUCUAACUCAUACUGGAAGGGUCCCAGUCCAUACUGGGAGGGUUUAACUCAUACUGGGAGGGUCCCAGUCCAUACUGGGAGGGUCUAACUCAUACUGGGAGUGUCCCAGUCCACACUGGGAGGCUGCCCAGCCCAAACUGGUUUCCCCAGGGCACGUUUGCCUCGCGGGUGCNNNNNNNNNNNNNNNNNNNNCGGGGGGUCCCCAAAAAACCCCGGGAUUCCCGCGAAAUUCCCCAAAAUCCCCGCGGUUCCCAUAGCGGCCAAUGGGGGUAGACCUGGUGUCCGGGAUGUCUGGGGUCAGUGAGAAUCAAAUCCCCCAAAAUUCUGGAUAUUCCCAAAAUUCCUGGGUGUGCCCCAAAUCCCUGGGUGUUCCCUAAAUCCCUGGGAUCCCCAAAUUCCUGAGAAAUUCCCCAAAAUUCCCAAAAUUCCCCAAAAUUCCCACAGUUCCCAUAGCAGCCAAUGGGGGUAGACCUGGUGUCCGGGAUGUCUGGGGUCCUUUUUGGGGGAAUUUUCCCCAAAAUUCUGGGUAUUCCCAAAAAUCCUGGGACUACCCCAAAUCCCUGGGUGUUCCUCAAAUCCCCAAAAUCCCCAAAUUCCCAAGAAAUUCCCCAAAAUUCCCGCGGUUCCCAUAGGGUUCAAUGGGGGUAGACCUGUUGUCCGGGAUGCUCAGGGCUCUUUUUGGGAGGAUUUUUCCCCAAAAUUUCAGGGGUUCUCCAAAUCCCCGGGUGUUCCCCAAAUCCCUGGGUGUUCCCUAAAUCUCCGGGAUCCCCACAAUUCCCGGGGGGUCCCCAAAAAACCCCGGGAUUCCCGGGAAAUUCCCGCGGUUCCCAUAGCGGCCAAUGGGGGUAGACCUGGUGUCCGGGAUGUCUGGGGUCAGUGGGAAUGGGAUUUUCCCCAAAAUUCUGGGUAUUCCCAAAAUUCCUGGGUAUUCCCCAAAUUUCCAGGAUCCCCCAAAUCCCUGGGUGUUCCUCAAAUCCCCAGGAUCCCCAAAUUCCCAAGAAAUUCCCCAAAAUCCCUAAAAAUUCCAGUGGUUCCCAUAGCAACCAAUGGGGGUAGACCUGUUGUCCGGGAUGUCUGGGGCUCUUUUUGGAGGGAUUUUCCCCAAAAUUCUGGAUAUUCCCGAAAUUCCUGGGUGUUCCCCAAAUCCCUGGGAUCCCCUCAGUCCCUGGGAUCCCCAAAUUCCUGAGAAAUUUCCAAAAAUUCCCAAAAUUCUCCAAAAAUCCCCGCGGUUCCCAUAGCGGCCAAUGGGGGUAGACCUGGUGUCUAAAAAAAAUCCUAAAAAAAAAUCUGAAAAAAAAUCCCCAAAAAUCCCUAAAAAAUAAAAAAAAAAAAAUCCCCA